GUCCAGGGGCGGGAAUCGAACCCACAACCUUCUGCUUACCGGGCAGGUGCCAUGUCCACUAGGCUGCCCUGGA
This 73-nucleotide transfer RNA is filed under the name Cordylochernes scorpioides. RNAcentral's name for it is "tRNA-Thr". The record is from RNAcentral. Lineage: Eukaryota; Metazoa; Arthropoda; Arachnida; Pseudoscorpiones; Chernetidae.